UACGAACGCUGGCGGCGUGCCUAACACAUGCAAGUCGAACGGGACCAGGGGCAACUCUGGUUCAGUGGCGGACGGGUGCGUAACACGUGAGGAACAUGACUUUUGGUGGGGGAUAGCCGGCCCAACGGCCGGGGUAAUACCGCGUACGACCUUUUGGGGACAUCCCCGAUUGGUGAAAGCAGCAAUGCGCCGAAAGAGUGCCUCGCGGCCUAUCAGCUAGUUGGUGGGGUAAUGGCUCACCAAGGCGACGACGGUAGCUGGUCUGAGAGGAUGGCCAGCCACAUUGGGACUGAGACACGGCCCAGACUCCUACGGGAGGCAGCAGUGGGGAAUAUUGCGCAAUGGGCGAAAGCCUGACGCCAGCGACGCCGCGUGUGGGAUGACGGCC
Molecule: ribosomal RNA, 388 nt
Filed under: uncultured bacterium
Lineage: Bacteria
Description: bacterial SSU rRNA
Rfam family: Bacterial small subunit ribosomal RNA
Source: RNAcentral